AUUGAACGCUGGCGGCAUGCUUUACACAUGCAAGUCGAACGGUAACAGGUUAAGCUGACGAGUGGCGAACGGGUGAGUGAUGCAUCGGAACGUGCCCGAUCGUGGGGGAUAACGCAGCGAAAGCUGCGCUAAUACCGCAUACGAACUGAGGAUGAAAGCGGGGGACGGUAAGGCCUCGCGCGAUCGGAGCGGCCGAUGUCAGAUUAGGUAGUUGGUGGGGUAAAGGCUCACCAAGCCAACGAUCUGUAGCUGGUCUGAGAGGACGACCAGCAACACUGGGACUGAGACACGGCCCAGACUCCUACGGGGGGCAGCAGUGGGGAAUUUUGGACAAUGGGCGAAGGCCUGAUCGAGCAAUGCCGCGUGCAGGAAGAAGGCCUUCGGGUUGUAAACUGCUUUUGUACGGAGCGAAAAGGCUCUCUCUAAUACAGGGGGCUCAUGACGGUACCGUAAGAAUAAGCACCGGCUAACUACGUGCCAGCCGCCGCCGUAA
This 493-nucleotide ribosomal RNA is filed under the name uncultured bacterium. Its description in RNAcentral is "partial 16S ribosomal RNA". It matches the Rfam family "Bacterial small subunit ribosomal RNA", at positions 29 to 523 of the family's 1533-position model. The record is from RNAcentral.